RNAcentral lists this transfer RNA (75 nucleotides) under Candidatus Poribacteria bacterium. RNAcentral's name for it is "Poribacteria bacterium tRNA". It matches the Rfam family "tRNA". Rfam says of the family: Transfer RNA (tRNA) molecules are approximately 80 nucleotides in length. Their secondary structure includes four short double-helical elements and three loops (D, anti-codon, and T loops). Further hydrogen bonds mediate the characteristic L-shaped molecular structure. tRNAs have two regions of fundamental functional importance: the anti-codon, which is responsible for specific mRNA codon recognition, and the 3' end, to which the tRNAs corresponding amino acid is attached (by aminoacyl-tRNA synthetases). tRNAs cope with the degeneracy of the genetic code in two manners: having more than one tRNA (with a specific anti-codon) for a particular amino acid; and 'wobble' base-pairing, i.e. permitting non-standard base-pairing at the 3rd anti-codon position. The record is from Rfam by way of RNAcentral. Lineage: Bacteria; Candidatus Poribacteria.
GCCCCCGUCGUCUAGCCUGGCCAAGGACACCGCCCUUUCACGGCGGCGACACGAGUUCAAAUCUCGUCGGGGGUA